Molecule: ribosomal RNA, 253 nt
Filed under: uncultured bacterium
Lineage: Bacteria
Description: partial 16S ribosomal RNA
Rfam family: Bacterial small subunit ribosomal RNA
Source: RNAcentral
UACGUAGGGGGCGAGCGUUAUCCGGAAUUACUGGGCGUAAAGCGCACGUAGGUGGUUUGUUAAGCCAGCUGUGAAAUCCCCGGGCUCAACCUGGGCACUGCAGUUGGAACUGGCAAGCUAGAGUAGGGUAGAGGGGUGUGGAAUUCCAGGUGUAGCGGUGAAAUGCGUAGAUAUCUGGAGGAACAUCAGUGGCGAAGGCGACACCCUGGACUCAUACUGACACUGAGGUGCGAAAGCGUGGGGAGCAAACAGG